RNAcentral lists this ribosomal RNA (1210 nucleotides) under Microbacterium sp. Its description in RNAcentral is "bacterial SSU rRNA". It matches the Rfam family "Bacterial small subunit ribosomal RNA", at positions 165 to 1387 of the family's 1533-position model. The record is from RNAcentral. Lineage: Bacteria; Bacillati; Actinomycetota; Actinomycetes; Micrococcales; Microbacteriaceae.
AAUACUGGAUAUGAGCUUCUACCGCAUGGUGGGGGUUGGAAAGAUUUUUCGGUCUGGGAUGGGCUCGCGGCCUAUCAGCUUGUUGGUGAGGUAAUGGCUCACCAAGGCGUCGACGGGUAGCCGGCCUGAGAGGGUGACCGGCCACACUGGGACUGAGACACGGCCCAGACUCCUACGGGAGGCAGCAGUGGGGAAUAUUGCACAAUGGGCGGAAGCCUGAUGCAGCAACGCCGCGUGAGGGAUGACGGCCUUCGGGUUGUAAACCUCUUUUAGCAAGGAAGAAGCGAAAGUGACGGUACUUGCAGAAAAAGCGCCGGCUAACUACGUGCCAGCAGCCGCGGUAAUACGUAGGGCGCAAGCGUUAUCCGGAAUUAUUGGGCGUAAAGAGCUCGUAGGCGGUUUGUCGCGUCUGCUGUGAAAUCCCGAGGCUCAACCUCGGGCCUGCAGUGGGUACGGGCAGACUAGAGUGCGGUAGGGGAGAUUGGAAUUCCUGGUGUAGCGGUGGAAUGCGCAGAUAUCAGGAGGAACACCGAUGGCGAAGGCAGAUCUCUGGGCCGUAACUGACGCUGAGGAGCGAAAGGGUGGGGAGCAAACAGGCUUAGAUACCCUGGUAGUCCACCCCGUAAACGUUGGGAACUAGUUGUGGGGUCCUUUCCACGGAUUCCGUGACGCAGCUAACGCAUUAAGUUCCCCGCCUGGGGAGUACGGCCGCAAGGCUAAAACUCAAAGGAAUUGACGGGGACCCGCACAAGCGGCGGAGCAUGCGGAUUAAUUCGAUGCAACGCGAAGAACCUUACCAAGGCUUGACAUACACGAGAACACUCUAGAAAUAGGGGACUCUUUGGACACUCGUGAACAGGUGGUGCAUGGUUGUCGUCAGCUCGUGUCGUGAGAUGUUGGGUUAAGUCCCGCAACGAGCGCAACCCUCGUUCUAUGUUGCCAGCACGUAAUGGUGGGAACUCAUGGGAUACUGCCGGGGUCAACUCGGAGGAAGGUGGGGAUGACGUCAAAUCAUCAUGCCCCUUAUGUCUUGGGCUUCACGCAUGCUACAAUGGCCGGUACAAAGGGCUGCAAUACCGUGAGGUGGAGCGAAUCCCAAAAAGCCGGUCCCAGUUCGGAUUGAGGUCUGCAACUCGACCUCAUGAAGUCGGAGUCGCUAGUAAUCGCAGAUCAGCAACGCUGCGGUGAAUACGUUCCCGGGUCUUGUACA